AGCUCCAAUAGCGUAUAUUAAAAUUGUUGCAGUUAAAAAGCUCGUAGUUGGAUUUCUGGCCUUGUGAGCGCGACCCGCCCCCGUUUUACUGGUGUGUGUCGCUGUUCACGGGCCAUCCUCGCGGUCGCCCGCGCCGUUCUUCAUUGGGCGGUGUGUGGUGUUCCGCGUCUUUUACUUUGAAAAAAUUAGAGUGUUCAAAGCAGGCUUGCGCUGUGAAUACAUUAGCAUGGAAUAAUAAGCUAGGACUUCCGUCCGAUUUUGUUGGUUUCCCGGUUGGAAGUAAUGAUUGAUAGGGAUAGUUGGGGGUGCUCGUAUUCAGCGGCCAGAGGUGAAAUUCUUGGAUUCGCUGAAGACGUACUUAUGCGAAAGCAUUCACCAAGGAUGUCUUCU
RNAcentral lists this ribosomal RNA (390 nucleotides) under uncultured Cercozoa. RNAcentral's name for it is "bacterial SSU rRNA". It matches the Rfam family "Eukaryotic small subunit ribosomal RNA", at positions 587 to 972 of the family's 1831-position model. Lineage: Eukaryota; Cercozoa. The record is from RNAcentral.